RNAcentral lists this ribosomal RNA (226 nucleotides) under Pseudo-nitzschia fraudulenta. RNAcentral describes it as "partial Bacterial large subunit ribosomal RNA". It matches the Rfam family "Bacterial large subunit ribosomal RNA", at positions 2586 to 2791 of the family's 2925-position model. Lineage: Eukaryota; Bacillariophyta; Bacillariophyceae; Bacillariales; Bacillariaceae. The record is from RNAcentral.
AAUUAAAGUGGUACGCGAGCUGGGUUCAGAACGUCGUGAGACAGUUUGGUCCCUAUCUGCCGUGGGUGUUGGAAACUUGAGAGGUACUUGAGAGGAUUAUCUGUCCUUGUCCCUAGUACGAGAGGACCGGGAUGGACAUACCUCUGGUGGACCUGUCGUGGCGCCAGCCGCGCAGCAGGGUAGCUAUGUAUGGAAGGGAUAACCGCUGAAUGCAUCUAAGCGGGAA